GAACGCGAAGAACCUUACCUAGGCUUGAAAGGCAAGUGACAGGGUAUGAAAGUACCCCUCCAGCAAUGGCACUUGUACAGGUGCUGCAUGGCUGUCGUCAGCUCGUGCCGUGAGUUGUUGGGUUAAGUCCCGCAACGAGACGCAACCCCUACUAUUAGUUCCACCAGGUUAUGCUGAGCACUCUAAUAGGACUGCCUACCCAAGUAGUGAGGAAUGUGGGGAUGACGUCAAGUCCGCAUGGCCCUUACGCCGAGCGCUACACCACGUGCUACAAUGGGUGUUACAAUGGGUUGCCAAACCGCAAGGUGGAGCCAAUCCUUUAAAGCAUCCUCUGUUCGGAUUGGAGUCUGAAACUCGACUCUA
This 363-nucleotide ribosomal RNA is filed under the name uncultured bacterium. RNAcentral's name for it is "bacterial SSU rRNA". It matches the Rfam family "Bacterial small subunit ribosomal RNA", at positions 957 to 1320 of the family's 1533-position model. The record is from RNAcentral.